GCAAGUCGAGCGAGACGGUUAUGAAAGAUCCUUCGGGUGAUAGAUUAACUAGAAAGCGGCGGACGGGUGAGUAACGCGUGAGUAACCUGCCCCAUACACAGGGAUAGCCAUUGGAAACGAUGAUUAAUACCUGAUAACACAUAUUUAACACAUGUUAAUUAUGUCAAAGAUUUAUCGGUAUGGGAUGGACUCGCGUCUGAUUAGCUAGUUGGUAAGGUAACGGCUCACCAAGGCGACGAUCCCUAGCUGGUCUGAGAGGAUGAUC
This 265-nucleotide ribosomal RNA is filed under the name uncultured bacterium. RNAcentral's name for it is "partial 16S ribosomal RNA". It matches the Rfam family "Bacterial small subunit ribosomal RNA", at positions 57 to 305 of the family's 1533-position model. The record is from RNAcentral.